This is a long non-coding RNA of Sciurus carolinensis (gray squirrel), 481 nucleotides long. RefSeq lists it as uncharacterized. The record is from RefSeq and is a predicted model, not a curated record. Lineage: Eukaryota; Metazoa; Chordata; Mammalia; Rodentia; Sciuridae. The transcript has 3 exons.
CAUGAGUGAAGCCUUUUCUUGCUGCACUUCUGAAAGAAAUAGUCCAGAAGAAUGAACAAUAAGUCAUUGACUGGAUGAUGGUGGGAGUCAUCAAACCUGGACCACCAGCUGAGUACAGACCCUUGCUUGUGUCUCCGUGUUCACAUCAGUUGUGAAUGUGAAUUGAGACUCUGGUACCUCUUGGAGCUCAAGGAGGAUGUGACACUGGAACUUCAGGGUGGGACUCUAAAGCAAGAGUCAGAAGCUCUUCCUGAGCCUAAUGCCUGAGCCACACCAGGAUGUGACCCAGUAUUAUGAAACCAUUUGGGAGCCUGACCUGGGACAUCUGUUAAAGGGGCAACUUGUUACAUACCUCAUAGAGCUGUUGUGAGGAGAACGUGAGCAAUGAGCAGAUUUGUGGAUAGUAUGUAACCCACAGUACUGAACCAAACAGUAUGUAUUGUUCUCCCCAACCUUCUCCUUUACUCAAAUGACAGAACUU